AUACGUAGGGUGCGAGCGUUGUCCGGAAUUACUGGGCGUAAAGAGCUCGUAGGUGGUUUGUCGCGUCGUCUGUGAAAUUCCGGGGCUUAACUCCGGGCGUGCAGGCGAUACGGGCAUAACUUGAGUACUGUAGGGGAGACUGGAAUUCCUGGUGUAGCGGUGAAAUGCGCAGAUAUCAGGAGGAACACCGGUGGCGAAGGCGGGUCUCUGGGCAGUAACUGACGCUGAGGAGUGAAAGCAUGGGUAGCGAACAGGAUUAGAUACCCUGGUAGUCCAUGCCGUAAACGGUGGGCGCUAGGUGUAGGGGUCUUCCACGACUUCUGUGCCGUAGCUAACGCAUUAAGCGCCCCGCCUGGGGAGUACGGCCGCAAGGCUAAAACUUAAAGGAAUUGACGGGG
This 398-nucleotide ribosomal RNA is filed under the name uncultured bacterium. Its description in RNAcentral is "partial 16S ribosomal RNA". It matches the Rfam family "Bacterial small subunit ribosomal RNA", at positions 523 to 918 of the family's 1533-position model. The record is from RNAcentral.